CCUGUGCGCGAGAGUCUUAGUGCACUGUCUGGGCAGAAGAAGGUUUCCUGCCCUGUGCACGGGUGGAAGAAGGUUCCCCACCCCGUGGAAAGCUAGCUUGAGAGUGCACUGUCUGGGCAGAAGAAGGAUUCCUGCCCUGUGCACGGGUGGAAGAAGGUUCCCCACCCCGAAAUGGCGCCUGUGAGUAGAUGAAGGAUUCCUACUCCGAAUAGUCUUUUUCUUUCUUUUUUCCUUUUUAGAAAGCGCACCGGGGGACGCCCCAAUCGUGCAGGCUCUGGGACGCGUGAGAGACGUUCCGCGAGCCAGCCUUUUUCGGGUCCUGGCUCUGGGACACGUGAGAGACUUUCCACGAGCCGAAUUUUGUCGGGAGGACCCGGCAACGGACAGUCAAAAAGAUCUGACUGUGACUUGACUUCGGAGGUCGCGUUCGGCUGCCUAUUUGAGUAUAGGCACGGACAAGUGUGCUUAGAUGUGCUAAAAGACCUACAGAUGAUACAGAAAGAAAUCUGCUCACAGCUGACAGCAGCCUAUGCUCCGGAGACCCCUGAGACAUCUCAUCAGUCAUGAGUUCCAGGAGACUGCAGCUACACUGAGCCCAGACACUCGAGCCUCACUGGAAAGGACCAUACCUGGUGCUGCUGACCACCUGACAGCUGUCAAUUCUCAGCCCUCACCAGCCGCGUACUAGCUGUUGGGGCUGAGAGCUGGGACCUAGAGGGAAAUUCAGUCAUGUUUGUCCUGGGUUCUAUCAAGAUUGGUGUGGGAUAGGCUUGAUUUCCAUUACAAAUGAUGUAACAUUGCAUAUGUUAGUACUCUUAACACUUCUUGGGACUGUGCCUCAGGGAUCACAGUCUGUAUAAGCUUAGAAGUUCUAAAAGCUAGUCAUGACCUUGGUGUAUAGGCUUAAAUAGUGUUCAGAUUAGAAUCCUCAUGUUAAGACAACAAUACCAAGCUGUUAUGCUAGAUGAAGCUGAGUUCUCCAUGAAGUUCUAAGAUUAGAACUAUUAACAAAAAAAAAGAAGUGGGGAAUGUAGAAUUAGAGUUUCAUAAAGAUUACUCAUU
Molecule: long non-coding RNA, 1062 nt
Filed under: Rattus norvegicus (Norway rat)
Lineage: Eukaryota; Metazoa; Chordata; Mammalia; Rodentia; Muridae
Description: long non-coding RNA NONRATT013040
Source: RNAcentral